Molecule: transfer RNA, 70 nt
Filed under: Mus musculus (house mouse)
Lineage: Eukaryota; Metazoa; Chordata; Mammalia; Rodentia; Muridae
Rfam family: tRNA
About the family: Transfer RNA (tRNA) molecules are approximately 80 nucleotides in length. Their secondary structure includes four short double-helical elements and three loops (D, anti-codon, and T loops).
Source: Rfam by way of RNAcentral
CAGAGUGUAGCUCAGUAGCAGAGCACUUGCCUGGGAUGUAGGAGGCUUAGGUUCAAUCCUAGGACCAUGG